UGGGGGAUAUUGCACAAUGGGGGAAACCCUGAUGCAGCAACGCCGCGUGAGGGAAGAAGGUCUUCGGAUUGUAAACCUAAGUAGUCAGGGACGAAUAAAUGACGGUACCUGAAGAGUAAGCUCCGGCUAACUACGUGCCAGCAGCCGCGGUAAUACGUAGGGAGCGAGCGUUGUCCGGAAUUACUGGGUGUAAAGGGUGCGUAGGCGGGACUGCAAGUCAGACGUGAAAUACCGGAGCUCAACUUCGGGGCUGCGUUUGAAACUGUGGUUCUUGAGUGAAGCAGAGGCAGGCGGAAUUCCUAGUGUAGCGGUGAAAUGCGUAGAUAUUAGGAGGAACACCAGUGGCGAAGGCGGCCUGCUGGGCUUUAACUGACGCUGAGGCACGAAAGCAUGGGGAGCAAACA
The sequence is a ribosomal RNA, 404 nucleotides long. It matches the Rfam family "Bacterial small subunit ribosomal RNA", at positions 355 to 774 of the family's 1533-position model.